This 386-nucleotide ribosomal RNA is filed under the name Merlia normani. RNAcentral describes it as "eukaryotic LSU rRNA". It matches the Rfam family "Eukaryotic large subunit ribosomal RNA", at positions 821 to 1207 of the family's 3401-position model. Lineage: Eukaryota; Metazoa; Porifera; Demospongiae; Merliida; Merliidae. The record is from RNAcentral.
AGAUGGUGAACUAUGCCUGAAUAGGGUGAAGCCAGGGGAAACUCUGGUGGAAGCUCGUAGCGAUUCUGACGUGCAAAUCGAUCGUCAAAUUUGGGUAUAGGGGCGAAAGACUAAUCGAACCAUCUAGUAGCUGGUUCCCUCCGAAGUUUCCCUCAGGAUAGCUGGAGCCCGGUGCAGUUUUAUCAGGUAAAGCGAAUGAUUAGAGGUCUUGGGGUUGAAACAACCUCAACCUAUUCUCAAACUUUAAAUGGGUAAGAAGCUCGGCUUGCUCAACUGAAGUCGGGCAUUGAAUGCCGGGGCUCCUAGUGGGCCAUUUUUGGUAAGCAGAACUGGCGAUGUGGGAUGAACCAAAUGCCGGGUUAAGGUGCCCGAGUCGACGCUCAGCA